AGUCCCGUAGCUCAGCCUGGUUAGAGCACUACACUGAUAAUGUAGGGGUUCGUCCAGUUCAAAUCUGGACGGGUCUACUA
Molecule: transfer RNA, 80 nt
Filed under: Nostoc sp. HG1
Lineage: Bacteria; Bacillati; Cyanobacteriota; Cyanophyceae; Nostocales; Nostocaceae
Description: tRNA-Ile
Rfam family: tRNA
About the family: Transfer RNA (tRNA) molecules are approximately 80 nucleotides in length. Their secondary structure includes four short double-helical elements and three loops (D, anti-codon, and T loops).
Source: RNAcentral